GAUGAACGCUGGCGGCGUGCCUAAUACAUGCAAGUCGAGCGAACAGACGAGGAGCUUGCUCCUCUGACGUUAGCGGCGGACGGGUGAGUAACACGUGGAUAACCUACCUAUAAGACUGGGAUAACUUCGGGAAACCGGAGCUAAUACCGGAUAAUAUAUUGAACCGCAUGGUUCAAUAGUGAAAGACGGUUUUGCUGUCACUUAUAGAUGGAUCCGCGCCGCAUUAGCUAGUUGGUAAGGUAACGGCUUACCAAGGCAACGAUGCGUAGCCGACCUGAGAGGGUGAUCGGCCACACGGGAACUGAGACACGGUCCAGACUCCUACGGGAGGCAGCAGUAGGGAAUCUGCCGCAAUGGGCGAAAGCCUGACGGAGCAACGCCGCGUGAGUGAUGAAGGUCUUCGGAUCGUAAAACGCUGUUAUUAGGGAAGAACAAAUGUGUAAGUAACUAUGCACGUCUUGACGGUACCUAAUCAGAAAGCCACGGCUAACUACGU
RNAcentral lists this ribosomal RNA (496 nucleotides) under uncultured bacterium. Its description in RNAcentral is "partial 16S ribosomal RNA". It matches the Rfam family "Bacterial small subunit ribosomal RNA", at positions 28 to 506 of the family's 1533-position model. The record is from RNAcentral.